AAUAUGGGACAACAGGGGCAACCCUAAUCCAGCCAUGCAGUGUGUGGGAAGAAUGUCUUCGGUUUGUAAAGAACUUUAAGUUGGGAGGAGGGGCUUUAGAUUAUUACCCUGAAGUUUUGACGUUACCAACAGAAUAAGCACCGGCUCACUCUGUGACAGCAGCCGCGGUCAUACAGAGGGUGCAAGUGUUAAUCGGAAUGACGGGGAGUAAAGCGCGCGUAGGUGGUUCAGUAAGAUGGGUGUGAAAUCCCCGGGCUUAACCUGGGAACUGCUUUAAUAACUGCUGAGCUAGAGUACGGUAGGGGGUAGUGGAAUUACCUGUGUAGCGGUGAAAUGCGUAGAUAUAGGAAGGAACACCAGUGGCGAAGGCGACUACCUGGACUGAUACUGACACUGAGGUGCGAAAGCGUGGGGAGCAAAC
Molecule: ribosomal RNA, 421 nt
Filed under: uncultured bacterium
Lineage: Bacteria
Description: partial 16S ribosomal RNA
Rfam family: Bacterial small subunit ribosomal RNA
Source: RNAcentral